This 72-nucleotide transfer RNA is filed under the name Lacticaseibacillus camelliae DSM 22697 = JCM 13995. Its description in RNAcentral is "Lactobacillus camelliae DSM 22697 = JCM 13995 tRNA". It matches the Rfam family "tRNA". Rfam says of the family: Transfer RNA (tRNA) molecules are approximately 80 nucleotides in length. Their secondary structure includes four short double-helical elements and three loops (D, anti-codon, and T loops). The record is from Rfam by way of RNAcentral. RNAcentral also lists the same sequence under 4 other names. Lineage: Bacteria; Bacillati; Bacillota; Bacilli; Lactobacillales; Lactobacillaceae.
UGCCCGUUAGUCAAGGGGUUAAGACGCCUGGUUCUCAGCCAGGAAACACGGGUUCGAAUCCCGUACGGGUGA